GGUGGGCGUGGCUCAGUGGUAGAGCAUCUGCUUUGCGUGCAGACGGUCCUAGGUUCAAGCCCCAGCACCCCCA
Non-coding RNA from Sphaerodactylus townsendi, 73 nucleotides. Lineage: Eukaryota; Metazoa; Chordata; Lepidosauria; Squamata; Sphaerodactylidae. The record is from the annotation of a RefSeq genome assembly.